GACAGAGGGUGCAAACGUUGUUCGGAAUUACUGGGCGUAAAGCGCGCGUAGGCAGCAGCGUGUGUCGGGCGUGAAAUCCCAUGGCUCAACCAUGGAAGUGCACUCGAAACUGCGCAGCUAGAGUCUCGGAGAGGAAGGUGGAAUGCUUGGUGUAGAGGUGAAAUUCGUAGAUAUCAAGCGGAACACCGGUGGCGAAGGCGGCCUUCUGGACAGUGACUGACGCUGAGACGCGAAAGCGUGGGGAGCAAACAGG
RNAcentral lists this ribosomal RNA (253 nucleotides) under uncultured bacterium. Its description in RNAcentral is "partial 16S ribosomal RNA". It matches the Rfam family "Bacterial small subunit ribosomal RNA", at positions 524 to 776 of the family's 1533-position model. The record is from RNAcentral.